CCUACGGGUGGCUGCAGUGGGGAAUAUUGCGCAAUGGGCGAAAGCCUGACGCAGCCACGCCGCGUGAGCGAUGAAGGCCUUCGGGUCGUAAAGCUCUGUGGGGAGAGAAGAAUAAAGCCUGUGAAGAGCAGGCCUUGACGGUAUCUCCUUAGCAAGCACCGGCUAACUCCGUGCCAGCAGCCGCGGUACUACGGAGGGUGCAAAAGUUGCGCGCGAUCAUUGGGCGUAAGGCGCACGUAAAGUGCCCGGUGAAAACCCUGGGCUCAACCCAGGAAGUGCAUCCAAAACUGGCGGGCUUGAGUCUCGGAGGGGGUCGGAGAAUGCCCGGUGUAGAGGUGAAAUUCGUAGAUAUCGGGAGGAAUACCAGUGGCGAAGGCGCCGACCUGGACGAAGAUUGACGCUGAGGUGCGAAAGCGUGGGGAGCAAACAGGAUUAGAUACCCCUGUAGUC
This 450-nucleotide ribosomal RNA is filed under the name uncultured bacterium. RNAcentral describes it as "partial 16S ribosomal RNA". It matches the Rfam family "Bacterial small subunit ribosomal RNA", at positions 338 to 795 of the family's 1533-position model. The record is from RNAcentral.